AUGGAGCGUCCUAUGGGACAAAAGGCGGCAAAACGAAAAGGUAAGGCAAAGGAAAAUACAAAUGCAACUGAACCUCCUUCUAGUGUUAAUUCUGAUACAAUGACUAAAAGAAUGAAUUUAAUGGAAAAUCUAGCACGGCUUAAGGAGGAAGAAAACAAAUUAGUCAAGGAAAAGAUGGAGUCUGAAGCACGACUUAAGGAGGAAGAAAACAAAUUAAUAAAGGAAAAGAUGGAGUUUGAAGCAAUGCAAUUCAUAAUGUCAGACACUUCUAAGAUGAAUGAUAGUCAGCGUGAAUUUCAUGAAAAACGGUGUAAUAACCUAAAAGAAAAAUAUGGAUGGUAA
Non-coding RNA from Vicia faba (fava bean), 342 nucleotides. The record is from the annotation of a GenBank genome assembly. NCBI's taxonomy places the organism in Eukaryota, Viridiplantae, Streptophyta, Magnoliopsida, Fabales, Fabaceae.